Molecule: ribosomal RNA, 419 nt
Filed under: bacterium
Lineage: Bacteria
Description: partial 16S ribosomal RNA
Rfam family: Bacterial small subunit ribosomal RNA
Source: RNAcentral
UGGGGGAUAUUGCACAAUGGGCGAAAGCCUGAUGCAGCGACGCCGCGUGGGGGAUGAAGGCCUUCGGGUUGUAAACUUCUUUUGCUCUGAACAAGGCGCACCAUGGGGUGUGUUGAGUGUAGGGGUUGAUUAGCGCCGGCUAACUACGUGCCAGCAGCCGCGGUAAUACGUAGGGCGCGAGCGUUGUCCGGAAUUAUUGGGCGUAAAGGGCUUGUAGGUGGCUGGUUGCGUCUGUCGUGAAAGCUCAUGGCUUAACUGUGGGUUAGCGGUGGGUACGAGCUGGCUUGAGUGCAGUAGGGGAGGCUGGAAUUCCUGGUGUAGCGGUGGAAUGCGCAGAUAUCAGGAGGAAUACCGGUGGCGAAGGCGGGUCUCUGGGCUGUUACUGACACUGAGGAGCGAAAGCAUGGGGAGCGAACAGG